Molecule: ribosomal RNA, 253 nt
Filed under: uncultured bacterium
Lineage: Bacteria
Description: partial 16S ribosomal RNA
Rfam family: Bacterial small subunit ribosomal RNA
Source: RNAcentral
UACGUAGGUGGCAAGCGUUGUCCGGAAUUAUUGGGCGUAAAGGGCGCGUAGGCGGUUCGUUCAGUCAGACGUGAAAUUCCUGGGCUCAACCUGGGGGCUGCGUUUGAUACGUGCGGGCUUGAGUUCGGAAGAGGGUCGUGGAAUUCCCAGUGUAGAGGUGAAAUUCGUAGAUAUUGGGAAGAACACCGGUGGCGAAGGCGGCGACCUGGUCCGAUACUGACGCUGAGGCGCGAAAGCGUGGGGAGCAAACAGG